GGAGAGGUGUCCGAGCGGUUUAAGGAGCACGCUUGGAAAGCGUGUGUAGGCUGAAACCUACCGAGGGUUCGAAUCCCUCCCUCUCCGCCA
RNAcentral lists this transfer RNA (90 nucleotides) under Gammaproteobacteria bacterium. RNAcentral describes it as "tRNA-Ser". It matches the Rfam family "tRNA". From Rfam's summary of the family: Transfer RNA (tRNA) molecules are approximately 80 nucleotides in length. Their secondary structure includes four short double-helical elements and three loops (D, anti-codon, and T loops). The record is from RNAcentral. Lineage: Bacteria; Pseudomonadati; Pseudomonadota; Gammaproteobacteria.